RNAcentral lists this ribosomal RNA (788 nucleotides) under Burkholderiales bacterium. RNAcentral describes it as "bacterial SSU rRNA". It matches the Rfam family "Bacterial small subunit ribosomal RNA", at positions 722 to 1505 of the family's 1533-position model. Lineage: Bacteria; Pseudomonadati; Pseudomonadota; Betaproteobacteria; Burkholderiales. The record is from RNAcentral.
CCACCUGUUAGGCCUGUACUGACGGUCAUGCACGACAGUGAGGGGAGCAAGCAUGGUUAGAUAUCCUGGUAGUACACGCCCUAAGCGAUGUCCGUCUGGCUAUGGGGUCUAUAUGUUCUCAGUAACGAAUCUAUCGCGAGAAGAAGGUCAUCUGGGGAGUACGUGCGCAAGGUUGAAACUCAAAGGAAUUGCCGGGGAACCGCACAAGCGGUGGACGAUCUGGUGUACUUCGAUGCAACGCGAAAAACCUUACACGCCUUUGACAUGUACGGAAGUCUCUAGAGAUAGAUUCGUACUCGAAAGAGAGUUGUAACACAGGUCAAGCAUGGCCGUCGUCAUCUCGAGUCGUGAGAUGGAGGGUUCAGUUUCACUACGAGCGCGAGCCUUGCCAUUAGUUGUUGCAUUCAGCUGGGCACUCUAAUGAGUCUACCGGUGACAACGCGGAGGAAGGUGGGGAUGACGUCAAGUCCUCAUGAUCCUUAUGGGUGGGGCUUCACGCGUCAUACAAUGGCUGCUACAGAGGGUACACAAAGCGCGAGGGGGACAUCAUGACAUAAAUCCACUCGUAGUCCGGAUCGCAGUCUGCAACUCGACUGCGUGAAGUCGGAAUCGCUAGUAAUCUAGGAUCAGAAUGUCAGCGGUGAAUACGUUGACCGGGUCUUGUGCACCUCGUCCCGUCACGCCAUGCGAGCCGGUCUAGCCAGAAGUAGGUAGCGUAGGCCGCAAGGAGGACGCUUACCAGCGGUCGGGGUUCGUGAUCUGGGGGAAGUCGAACAAGAGCUGGGGGC